AGGCCCUACGGGACGCAGCAGUGAGGAAUAUUGGUCAAUGGACGAAAGUCUGAACCAGCCAUGCCGCGUGCAGGAAGACGGCUCUAUGAGUUGUAAACUGCUUUUGUACAAGGGUAAACCUGAAUACGUGUAUUCAGCUGAAAGUACUGUACGAAUAAGGAUCGGCUAACUCCGUGCCAGCAGCCGCGGUAAUACGGAGGAUCCAAGCGUUAUCCGGAUUUAUUGGGUUUAAAGGGUGCGUAGGCGGGUUGAUAAGUUAGAGGUGAAAUGUCCGGGCUCAACUCGGGAAAUGCCUCUAAUACUGU
RNAcentral lists this ribosomal RNA (305 nucleotides) under uncultured bacterium. RNAcentral's name for it is "bacterial SSU rRNA". It matches the Rfam family "Bacterial small subunit ribosomal RNA", at positions 334 to 636 of the family's 1533-position model. The record is from RNAcentral.